Molecule: ribosomal RNA, 468 nt
Filed under: uncultured bacterium
Lineage: Bacteria
Description: partial 16S ribosomal RNA
Rfam family: Bacterial small subunit ribosomal RNA
Source: RNAcentral
GACGAACGCUGGCGGCGCGCCUAACAUAUGCAAGUCGAACGGAGCUGAGAGAAGCUUGCUUUUCUUAGCUUAGUGGCGAACGGGUGAGUAACGCGUGAGUAACCUGCCCUGGAGUGGGGGACAACAGUUGGAAACGACUGCUAAUACCGCAUAAGCCCACGAUCCGGCAUCGGAUUGAGGGAAAAGGAUUUAUUCGCUUCAGGAUGGACUCGCGUCCAAUUAGCUAGUUGGUGAGGUAACGGCCCACCAAGGCGACGAUUGGUAGCCGGACUGAGAGGUUGAACGGCCACAUUGGGACUGAGACACGGCCCAGACUCCUACGGGAAGCAGCAGUGGGGGAUAUUGCACAAUGGGGGAAACCCUGAUGCAGCGACGCCGCGUGGAGGAAGAAGGUUUUCGGAUUGUAAACUCCUGUCGUUAGGGACGAUAAUGACGGUACCUAACAAGAAAGCACCGGCUAACUACGUG